This is a long non-coding RNA of Pelobates fuscus (common spadefoot toad), 639 nucleotides long. RefSeq lists it as uncharacterized. NCBI's taxonomy places the organism in Eukaryota, Metazoa, Chordata, Amphibia, Anura, Pelobatidae. The record is from RefSeq and is a predicted model, not a curated record. The transcript is spliced from 3 exons.
UGAGAGCAGGCUAGAGAUAUGUGCUUGAGGCAUAAACCUGCUGAUCUUCUUACGAAAUUCAUACAAUGCCUGAACCGGCUAUUAUUUGGUAUACUGGGCAAAUGUCAGGUAGGCUAGGGGCUGGCAUUAAUAUGCUUGCAGUCAGUGUUGUGUCCACCUGCAUCCCACGGAAUGAAGUUCUCUGUGUGCAGUGGUCCUUUACCUGUAACCCUGCAAUGCAAAACAUUACAGCCACUAGAGGUGCUUCCGCAGCUCUUACCAAGAAAAUCUCAGUCACGUGACGUGGAAGCCCCCAUAGGAUGGCAUUGUUUUAUUCCUAUGGGGAAGCUUGGAUGCGUGCGCGGUGCUCAUCGUGCAUGUGCAAAGGGUUCCUAAUGCUAAUCUAUGAGGAGCAUUGGAUUGGACAUCUGCGGAGAAAGCCAUGCCUCCACCUUGACAUCAAAGGAGGCAGAGAGGCACAGAGAAGAUUAAAUAAGACGUGGAAAAGCAGAGAAUAAAAGAAACAGCUUACGAGAUCGGGUCCUGCUUUACAAGACAAUGGACAUUGAACUCACAAGAUCAGAACAUUUAAUGACUGGCAGGGUGGCGUGCACGGAAGACAAAUCCUUUCUCUACCAAUUUCCCCUGAAACUGGAUACC